This 253-nucleotide ribosomal RNA is filed under the name uncultured bacterium. RNAcentral describes it as "partial 16S ribosomal RNA". It matches the Rfam family "Bacterial small subunit ribosomal RNA", at positions 524 to 776 of the family's 1533-position model. The record is from RNAcentral.
UACGGGGGGGGCAAGCGUUGUUCGGAAUUACUGGGCGUAAAGGGCUCGUAGGCGGCCAACUAAGUCUGAUGUGAAAUCCCCAGGCUUAACCUGGGAACUGCAUCCGAUACUGGAUGGCUUGAAUCCGGGAGAGGGAUGCAGAAUUCCAGGUGUAGCGGUGAAAUGCGUAGAUAUCUGGAGGAAUACCGGUGGCGAAGGCGGCAUCCUGGACCGGCAUUGACGCUGAUGAGCGAAAGCCAGGGGAGCAAACGGG